This 450-nucleotide ribosomal RNA is filed under the name uncultured bacterium. Its description in RNAcentral is "partial 16S ribosomal RNA". It matches the Rfam family "Bacterial small subunit ribosomal RNA", at positions 338 to 795 of the family's 1533-position model. The record is from RNAcentral.
CCUACGGGUGGCUGCAGUGGGGAAUUUUGGACAAUGGGCGCAAGCCUGAUCCAGCCAUUCCGCGUGAGUGAAGAAGGCCUUCGGGUUGUAAAGCUCUUUCGCAAGGGAAGAAAACUUAUCCUCUAACAUAGGAUGAGGUUGACGGUACCUUGAUAAGAAGCACCGGCUAACUACGUGCCAGCAGCCGCGGUAAUACGUAGGGUGCGAGCGGUAAUUGGAGUUACUGGGGGUAAUGUUUGAGGUCACUGGUGAAAUCCCCGAGCUCAACUUGGGAACUGCGUUUUAAACUACAAGACUAGAAUAGGUCAGAGGGGGGUAGAAUUCCACGUGUAGCAGUGAAAUGCGUAGAGAUGUGGAGGAAUAUCAAUGGCGAAGGCAGCCCCCUGGGAUCAUAUUGACGCUCAUGCACGAAAGCGUGGGGAGCAAACAGGAUUAGAUACCCGAGUAGUC